Molecule: non-coding RNA, 118 nt
Organism: Paramesorhizobium deserti
Lineage: Bacteria; Pseudomonadati; Pseudomonadota; Alphaproteobacteria; Hyphomicrobiales; Phyllobacteriaceae
Source: Rfam
AAUCAUUGAGUUCAAUGCUUUGGCUCCUCCCUGAACUCAAUACUGAACAUGGCGCUCUCCUCCCUGCCGUGUUCAAAGAUAUGGCCCGCUGCUCCUCCUCCCGCAGCGGGCCUUUUUA